RNAcentral lists this small RNA (254 nucleotides) under Ureibacillus manganicus DSM 26584. RNAcentral describes it as "Lysinibacillus manganicus DSM 26584 BsrG". It matches the Rfam family "BsrG". From Rfam's summary of the family: bsrE, bsrG and bsrH pair through intermolecular interactions with antisense sRNAs. SR4 interaction with the 3'UTR of bsrG RNA promotes bsrG degradation and inhibits its translation. SR5 also overlaps bsrG from nucleotide 163 to 52 (Rfam overlap check). Lineage: Bacteria; Bacillati; Bacillota; Bacilli; Caryophanales; Caryophanaceae. The record is from Rfam by way of RNAcentral.
AAUUGUAAUAGUUUGGUAACUCAAGGGUGGUUGGCUCACUCCUCUUUUAGAUUGGGGGUGAGGCCUAUGACAGUAUAUGAAGCAUUAAUGUUUGCAGUAGCAUUCGCGGCAUUGAUUGUAUCAAUACUUUCAUCAAUCCAUAAAAAAUAACCCAUCCUUGAGUUGAGAGCUCGAUGGGUUACUGUACCAAAGGGCCAAUCCCCCUUGAAGGGAUCGACUAUUAUGUUUGACUACUUGAUGCUGUAACAUCAGGU